UGAUUUAACCGAUUUAUUAAUAAUCGCGGGCAGACUGUUUCCAUUGGGUUGAAAACUCUGGUUCAAAGUGCGAGGCCUUUGGUUCAAAGUAAAUCUUCAAUUAAAAUAUUUGUUACAGUCGCUAGUUGGAGCCAUCAGUGCCAUAAAAAUGAAAAACCGUGAAACAUCUCAAUCCUUGUAACUAAUUAACGAUCUUAAUCCAAAAUUGUAAUUCAUAAAAUGCUAGUUCGAAAAUUAUUUAUGUAUUGGAUUUGUAAUUACUAAACUAACUUUAUUUAACUAACUAAACUUUACUAUUAUUGCAAGGCAAGGGUAUAUUAAUCAACAUUGAUCUCAUUUUACAUCUAAAAUUAAUGAUGCAGGUAGGGGUGAGAACGGGACAAGAAACGGGACGUGUCAAGUACCAUGAUCCUUCUGCCCCGGUUCCUACCCCGGAUCCGGUGAACAGGGCGCAGAACGGGACGGAGGCUCUGAAAUUAUAAAAAAUUAAGAAAUGCAAAUUGUAAAUAAAUAAUUAAAAAAGUAAGUCUAAAUUUAAAAUGGGUAAACUUUUUACCCUAAUUUUUAAAAGUAAAAAUAAAAAGUAAAUCUAAAAUGAACAUAAGUCUAAAGACUGAGGCUUAAGUUUAAAAAUAUAAUCCUAAUAAUCUUAUAGCUGAUAUAAUAUAAUUUUUAAAAAUUUAAUUUUUUUAAAACCGGACAGGACGCCUCGGUUUCGCCCUGCCCCGAGACCCGUCCCGAAAUAUAACCGGGUCAACGGAGGGAGCACAAGCAUCAAAAUUUUAUGUUAAAUAAUAAUCCUCAGUGUUAAAAAAAUACAGGGAUUAUCAGAGAAGCUCAGCCUAGGGUGAGCUCAAAAGCGCUCACCCAGGUUGAGCCGCCCAAUAUAUAUCCUCUCCAUCAUGACCGUUGCACAAUUAUUAGUUUUAUAAUCCAGUUUUUGCACACAUCUUCAUGUGACCAAGAUUCUCCUUACACCUACCUAUACACUUAGCACCUACUUUUGUUCCUACCUUGUACCUUCACUUUGUUUUUUUUCUUACACCUUACACCUAGCACGUACGUCUUCUUUCUCUUUCACACGCAAUCUCAUUCUGCCCGACUCCUUCCUCAAUUUCUCUCAUCGUCGUCUCCUUUUUUUUUUGAAAUCACAGAUGGAAACCUAUAUUUUUCUUUUUCUCGCUGAAAACACAUCCUUAAUUUGUACGUAUUUGCAUUUCGCUUUUUUUCGUCCGUUAAUCAUGAAUCUCUUCAUCUCCUAUUAUUCGUUCAUGCAAACCCAUUUUUUUUCUUUUUCACACCGAAAACACAUCUUCUCCUCCGGUUUUUAUUGAUGUCUUCUAUGUAAGACUCUAACACGUUGUUUUUCGAAUCAUUGUUUUUCAUAUCGUUCUAAUCAUUUUCCAUGGUCUCUCUGAAACGGUUACAAAAAUUGUUUGUUAUUCUGUUGAAAACGUUGUCCCUCAAACGUAGCCCAAAUCAUUGUCCCUCUCACGGUUCAAAUAGUUGUUUCUCCUACGGUUCAAAUAGUUGUUCCUCAUACGGUCGAAAUAGUUGUUUCACAUACGGUCGAAAUUGUUGUUCCUCCUACAGUUCAAAUAGUUGUUCCUUCUAUAGUUCAAAUCGUUGGUCCUCCUACGGUUCAAAUAGUUGUUCCUUCUACUGUUCCAAUCAUCGUUCCUCCUACGCUUCAAAUAAUUGUUCCUCCGAUGAUUCAACUGGUUGUUCCUCCUGCGGUUCAAAUGGUUGUUUCCUCCUACGGUUCAAACCAUUUUAUCAUUCGUCGUUUACUAAUUUAUUCAUGUCAUUCCUUACACGUUCAGCAAUUGUUAUAUUAAAGGAACAAUAGUCAUACAUCAUUAUUAUAUGAACAAACAUUUACAACAGAACAGGAAUUUUACUAUUAAACGAACAAUAACCAUACAUCAUUAUUAUUAUCUGAAAUACAUUUACAACAGGACAGGAAUUCUAUUUCUAAAC
Molecule: long non-coding RNA, 1980 nt
Filed under: Zostera marina
Lineage: Eukaryota; Viridiplantae; Streptophyta; Magnoliopsida; Alismatales; Zosteraceae
Description: long non-coding RNA (ZMAR_LNC005897)
Source: RNAcentral